UGCCAGCCGCCGCGGUAAUACGAAGGCGGCAAGCGUUAUUCGGAAUCACUGGGCAUAAAGGGCCUGUAGGCGGUUUGAUUAGUUAAUUGUGAAAUCCCUCAGCUUAACUGGGGAAUUGCUGUUAAAACUGUCAAGCUAGAGUGUUGGAGGGGUAAGUGGAAUUCUUGGUGGAGCGGUGGAAUGCGUAGAUAUCAAGAGGAACGCCGGAGGCGAAAGCGACUUACUGGACAACUACUGACGCUGAGGGGCGAAAGCGAGGGGAGCAAACGGGAUUAGAUA
RNAcentral lists this ribosomal RNA (279 nucleotides) under uncultured bacterium. RNAcentral describes it as "partial 16S ribosomal RNA". It matches the Rfam family "Bacterial small subunit ribosomal RNA", at positions 506 to 784 of the family's 1533-position model. The record is from RNAcentral.